GACGAACGCUGGCGGCGUGCUUAACACAUGCAAGUCGAACGGAAAGGCCCUGCUUUUGUGGGGUGCUCGAGUGGCGAACGGGUGCGUAACACGUGAGUAACCUGCCCUUGCCUUUGGGAUAACUUCAGGAAACUGGGGCUAAUACCGGAUAGGAGCUCCUGCUGCAUGGUGGGUGUUGGAAAGUUUCGGCGGUUGGGGAUGGACUCGCGGCUUAUCAGCUUGUUGGUGGGGUAGUGGCUUACCAAGGCUUUGACGGGUAGCCGGCCUGAGAGGGUGACCGGCCACAUUGGGACUGAGAUACGGCCCAGACUCCUACGGGAGGCAGCAGUGGGGAAUAUUGCACAAUGGGCGGAAGCCUGAUGCAGCAACGCCGCGUGCGGGAUGAUGGCCUUCUGGUUGUAAACCGCUUUCGCCUGUGACGAAGCGUGAGUGACGGUAAUGGGUAAAGAAGCACCGGCUAACUACGUG
RNAcentral lists this ribosomal RNA (468 nucleotides) under uncultured bacterium. Its description in RNAcentral is "partial 16S ribosomal RNA". It matches the Rfam family "Bacterial small subunit ribosomal RNA", at positions 28 to 507 of the family's 1533-position model. The record is from RNAcentral.